AUAACGAAUAAGUCGUAUAAAAUUCUAGAUAGAAAAUUGAUAAUGACUACUAUCUAUCUAUUAGUCUUGACCAAAUUACGUGCCAGCAGUCGCGGCAACACGCAGAAGACAAGUGUUAUUCAUCUUUAAUCGGUUUAAAGGGUACCUAGACGGGAAAUCAAGCCUUAGUAGGGACUAAUUUUCUAGAGUUUUAUGGGAGAAAGUCGAAUAUCUGGAGGAGAGAUAAAAUAUUGUGAUACCAGAGAGACGGGUAACGGCGUAGGCAACUUUCUAUGUAAAAACUGACGUUGAGGGACGAAGCCCUGGGUAACGAGAAGGAUUUGAUACCCCAGUAGUCCAGGGAGACAAUGAUGAGUGCCAUAGGCUAGAUAAAUUAGUCUAUAAAUGAAAGUGCAAGCAUUCCACCUCAAGACUAAAGCGGCAACGCCCAAAUUGAAAUCAUUAGACCGUUUCUGAAACCAGUAGUGAAGUAUGUUAUUUAAUUCGAUGAUCCGCGAAUAACCUUACCACGUUUUGAAUACAUAGGGGAAAAGCAUUGCAGGGUGCUUUUCUUACCAUGAUUUAUACAAGCGCUGCACGGCUGUCUUUAGUUAAUGUCGUGAGACUUUGGUUAACUCCUUUAAUUAACGAAAACCCUUGUUUUAUUUGUUUAUAUAAAACAGUUCUCCGCUAUAUUGGAUAAGAUAAUAGGGAUUAAGGCAAGUCAUCAUGGCCUUAAUAACGUGGGCUAUAGACGUGCCACAUAUGCCUUUACAAAAGGAUGCGAUAUUGUGAAAUGGAGCUAAUCCCCAAAAAAGGACAUAACUAAUCGUGG
RNAcentral lists this ribosomal RNA (814 nucleotides) under Verrucaria tenuispora. RNAcentral describes it as "SSU rRNA". It matches the Rfam family "Bacterial small subunit ribosomal RNA", at positions 410 to 1303 of the family's 1533-position model. The record is from RNAcentral. Lineage: Eukaryota; Fungi; Ascomycota; Eurotiomycetes; Verrucariales; Verrucariaceae.